RNAcentral lists this ribosomal RNA (784 nucleotides) under Salmonella enterica. RNAcentral describes it as "bacterial LSU rRNA". It matches the Rfam family "Bacterial large subunit ribosomal RNA", at positions 711 to 1496 of the family's 2925-position model. RNAcentral also lists the same sequence under 1 other name. Lineage: Bacteria; Pseudomonadati; Pseudomonadota; Gammaproteobacteria; Enterobacterales; Enterobacteriaceae. The record is from RNAcentral.
AGACCCGAAACCCGGUGAUCUAGCCAUGGGCAGGUUGAAGGUUGGGUAACACUAACUGGAGGACCGAACCGACUAAUGUUGAAAAAUUAGCGGAUGACCUGUGGCUGGGGGUGAAAGGCCAAUCAAACCGGGAGAUAGCUGGUUCUCCCCGAAAGCUAUUUAGGUAGCGCCUCGUGAAUUCAUCUCCGGGGGUAGAGCACUGUUUCGGCUAGGGGGCCAUCCCGGCUUACCAACCCGAUGCAAACUGCGAAUACCGGAGAAUGUUAUCACGGGAGACACACGGCGGGUGCUAACGUCCGUCGUGAAGAGGGAAACAACCCAGACCGCCAGCUAAGGUCCCAAAGUCAUGGUUAAGUGGGAAACGAUGUGGGAAGGCCCAGACAGCCAGGAUGUUGGCUUAGAAGCAGCCAUCAUUUAAAGAAAGCGUAAUAGCUCACUGGUCGAGUCGGCCUGCGCGGAAGAUGUAACGGGGCUAAACCAUGCACCGAAGCUGCGGCAGCGACGCUGAUGCGUUGUUGGGUAGGGGAGCGUUCUGUAAGCCUGCGAAGGUGGCCUGUGAGGGUUGCUGGAGGUAUCAGAAGUGCGAAUGCUGACAUAAGUAACGAUAAAGCGGGUGAAAAGCCCGCUCGCCGGAAGACCAAGGGUUCCUGUCCAACGUUAAUCGGGGCAGGGUGAGUCGACCCCUAAGGCGAGGCCGAAAGGCGUAGUCGAUGGGAAACGGGUUAAUAUUCCCGUACUUGGUGUUACUGCGAAGGGGGGACGGAGAAGGCUAUGUUGGCCGGGC